CCUACGGGAGGCUGCAGUGAGGAAUAUUGGUCAAUGGGCGAGAGCCUGAACCAGCCAAGUCGCGUGAGGGAGUACUGCCCUAUGGGUUGUAAACCUCUUUUGUCGGGGAGCAAAAGCCGGACGUGUCCGGCUGUGAGAGUACCCGAAGAAAAAGCAUCGGCUAACUUCGUGCCAGCAGCCGCGGUAAUACGGAGGGUGCGAGCGUUAUCCGGAUUUAUUGGGUUUAAAGGGUGCGCAGGCGGAUUUUUAAGUCAGCGGUAAAAUCGUGGGGCUCAACCCCAUCCAGCCGUUGAAACUGGGGAUCUAGAGUGUGCGAGAGGUAUGCGGAAUGCGUGGUGUAGCGGUGAAAUGCAUAGAUAUCACGCAGAACCCCGAUUGCGAAGGCAGCAUACCGGUGCACAACUGACGCUCAGGCACGAAAGCGUGGGUAUCGAACAGGAUUAGAUACCCUUGUAGUC
Molecule: ribosomal RNA, 458 nt
Filed under: uncultured bacterium
Lineage: Bacteria
Description: partial 16S ribosomal RNA
Rfam family: Bacterial small subunit ribosomal RNA
Source: RNAcentral